ACGAGGGUGGACAGGUGGUGCAUGGUUGUCGUCAGCUCGUGUCGUGAGAUGUUGGGUUAAGUCCCGCAACGAGCGCAACCCUCGACCUUAGUUGCCAGCAUUCAGUUGGGCACUCUAAGGUGACUGCCGGCUAAAAGUCGGAGGAAGGUGGGGAUGACGUCAAAUCGUCAUGCCCCUUAUGACCUGGGCUACACACGUGCUACAAUGGGCGGUACAAAGGGUCGCGAACCCGCGAGGGGGAGCCAAUCCCAAAAAGCCGCUCUCAGUUCGGAUUGCAGGCUGCAACUCGCCUGCAUGAAGCCGGAAUCGCUAGUAAUCGCGGAUCAGCAUGCCGCGGUGAAUACGUUCCCGGGCCUU
RNAcentral lists this ribosomal RNA (357 nucleotides) under uncultured Anoxybacillus sp. Its description in RNAcentral is "bacterial SSU rRNA". It matches the Rfam family "Bacterial small subunit ribosomal RNA", at positions 1024 to 1382 of the family's 1533-position model. Lineage: Bacteria; Bacillati; Bacillota; Bacilli; Caryophanales; Anoxybacillaceae. The record is from RNAcentral.